RNAcentral lists this unclassified non-coding RNA (228 nucleotides) under uncultured fungus. Its description in RNAcentral is "sequence contains ITS1, 5.8S rRNA gene". The stretch from base 180 to 228 matches the Rfam family "5.8S ribosomal RNA", at positions 1 to 49 of the family's 154-position model. The record is from RNAcentral. Lineage: Eukaryota; Fungi.
UCUCCGUAGGUGAACCUGCGGAGGGAUCAUUACUGAGUGAGGGCCUUCGGGCUCGACCUCCAACCCUUUGUGAACACAACUUGUUGCUUCGGGGGCGACCCUGCCGUUUCGAUGGCGAGCGCCCCCGGAGGCCUUCGAACACUGCAUCUCUGCGUCGGAGUUUGAAACAAAUUAAACAAAACUUUCAACAACGGAUCUCUUGGUUCGGGCAUCGAUGAAGAACGCAGC